GAAAUGCGAUAAGUAAUGUGAAUUGCAGAAUUCAGUGAAUCAUCGAAUCUUUGAACGCACAUUGCGCCCGCCAGCACUCUGGCGGGCAUGCCUGUUCGAGCGUCAUUUCAACCCUCAGAACCCCUUGCGGGUUCUGGCGUUGGGGAUUGGCAUCCAGCCAGCCCCGAAAUCUAGUGGCGGUCCCUCCGCGACCUCCCCUGUGCAGUAGCGAUACCUCGCAGCGGGACAGCGGUCUGACCACGCCGUAAAACCCCCAACUUCUCAAGGUUGACCUCGAAUCAAGUAGGAAUACCCGCUGAACGUGAGC
This 307-nucleotide unclassified non-coding RNA is filed under the name plant metagenome. RNAcentral's name for it is "partial contains 5.8S ribosomal RNA, internal transcribed spacer 2, and large subunit ribosomal RNA". The stretch from base 1 to 105 matches the Rfam family "5.8S ribosomal RNA", at positions 50 to 154 of the family's 154-position model. The record is from RNAcentral.